AUCCGACUGAUGAGUCCCACAUAGGACGAAAUGCACAUCUUGAAU
RNAcentral lists this non-coding RNA (45 nucleotides) under Trichobilharzia regenti. Lineage: Eukaryota; Metazoa; Platyhelminthes; Trematoda; Strigeidida; Schistosomatidae. The record is from RNAcentral.